AUUGAACGCUGGCGGCAGGCCUAACACAUGCAAGUCGAACGGUAACAGGAAACAGCUUGCUGUUUCGCUGACGAGUGGCGGACGGGUGAGUAAUGUCUGGGAAACUGCCUGAUGGAGGGGGAUAACUACUGGAAACGGUAGCUAAUACCGCAUAACGUCGCAAGACCAAAGAGGGGGACCUUCGGGCCUCUUGCCAUCGGAUGUGCCCAGAUGGGAUUAGCUAGUAGGUGGGGUAACGGCUCACCUAGGCGACGAUCCCUAGCUGGUCUGAGAGGAUGACCAGCUACACUGGAACUGAGACACGGUCCAGACUCCUACGGGAGGCAGCAGUGGGGAAUAUUGCACAAUGGGCGCAAGCCUGAUGCAGCCAUGCCGCGUGUAUGAAGAAGGCCUUCGGGUUGUAAAGUACUUUCAGCGGGGAUGAAGGGAGUAAAGUUAAUACCUUUGCUCAUUGACGUUACCCGCAGAAGAAGCACCGGCUAACUCCGUG
RNAcentral lists this ribosomal RNA (490 nucleotides) under uncultured bacterium. RNAcentral's name for it is "partial 16S ribosomal RNA". It matches the Rfam family "Bacterial small subunit ribosomal RNA", at positions 30 to 507 of the family's 1533-position model. The record is from RNAcentral.